RNAcentral lists this transfer RNA (73 nucleotides) under Cordylochernes scorpioides. Its description in RNAcentral is "tRNA-Thr". Lineage: Eukaryota; Metazoa; Arthropoda; Arachnida; Pseudoscorpiones; Chernetidae. The record is from RNAcentral.
GUCCAGGGAUGGGAAUCGAAUCCACAAUGUUCCGCUUACCGGGCAGAUACCAUGUCCACUAGGCUACCCUGGA